GAUGAAGAACGUAGCGAAAUGCGAUAAGUAAUGUGAAUUGCAGAAUUCAGUGAAUCAUCGAAUCUUUGAACGCACAUUGCGCCCUUUGGUAUUCCUUAGGGCAUGCCUGUUCGAGCGUCAUUUAAACCUUCAAGCUAAGCUUGGUGUUGGGUGACUGUCCGCCUCACGGCGGACUCGCCUCAAAAUUAUUGGCGGCCGGUACAUUGGCUUCGAGCGCAGCAGAAACGCGAACUCGGGCCCGUCGUAUUGGCUCCCAGAAGCUAUCUUCACAAUUUUGACCUCGGAUCAGGUAGGGAUACCCGCUGAACUUAAGCAUAUCAAUAAGCGGAGGA
RNAcentral lists this unclassified non-coding RNA (332 nucleotides) under soil metagenome. RNAcentral describes it as "partial contains 5.8S ribosomal RNA, internal transcribed spacer 2, and large subunit ribosomal RNA". The stretch from base 1 to 120 matches the Rfam family "5.8S ribosomal RNA", at positions 35 to 154 of the family's 154-position model. The record is from RNAcentral.